Molecule: ribosomal RNA, 994 nt
Filed under: Klebsiella pneumoniae
Lineage: Bacteria; Pseudomonadati; Pseudomonadota; Gammaproteobacteria; Enterobacterales; Enterobacteriaceae
Description: bacterial SSU rRNA
Rfam family: Bacterial small subunit ribosomal RNA
Source: RNAcentral
AAAACAAUGCAAAGUCGAGCGGUAGCACAGAGAGCUUGCUCUCGGGUGACGAGCGGCGGACGGGUGAGUAAUGUCUGGGAAACUGCCUGAUGGAGGGGGAUAACUACUGGAAACGGUAGCUAAUACCGCAUAACGUCGCAAGACCAAAGUGGGGGACCUUCGGGCCUCAUGCCAUCAGAUGUGCCCAGAUGGGAUUAGCUAGUAGGUGGGGUAACGGCUCACUAGGCGACGAUCCCUAGCUGGUCUGAGAGGAUGACCAGCCACACUGGAACUGAGACACGGUCCAGACUCCUACGGGAGGCAGCAGUGGGGAAUAUUGCACAAUGGGCGCAAGCCUGAUGCAGCCAUGCCGCGUGUGUGAAGAAGGCCUUCGGGUUGUAAAGCACUUUCAGCGGGGAGGAAGGCGGUGAGGUUAAUAACCUUGUCGAUUGACGUUACCCGCAGAAGAAGCACCGGCUAACUCCGUGCCAGCAGCCGCGGUAAUACGGAGGGUGCAAGCGUUAAUCGGAAUUACUGGGCUAAAGCGCACGCAGGCGGUCUGUCAAGUCGGAUGUGAAAUCCCCGGGCUCAACCUGGGAACUGCAUUCGAAACUGGCAGGCUAGAGUCUUGUAGAGGGGGGUAGAAUUCCAGGUGUAGCGGUGAAAUGCGUAGAGAUCUGGAGGAAUACCGGUGGCGAAGGCGGCCCCCUGGACAAAGACUGACGCUCAGGUGCGAAAGCGUGGGGAGCAAACAGGAUUAAUACCCUGGGUGUCCACGCCGUAAACGAUGUCGAUUUGGAGGUUGUGCCCUUGAGGCGUGGCUUCCGGAGCUAACGCGUUAAAUCGACCGCCUGGGGAGUACGGCCGCAAGGUUAAAACUCAAAUGAAUUGACGGGGCCCGCACAAACCGGUGGGAGCAUGUUGUUUAAUUUCUAUGCAACGCGAAGAACCUUACCUGUCCUGUGACAUCCCAGAACUUUCCAAGAAUGGAUUGGGUGCCGUUCCCCAACUGGGA